This 106-nucleotide ribosomal RNA is filed under the name Vibrio cholerae. RNAcentral's name for it is "partial 16S ribosomal RNA". It matches the Rfam family "Bacterial small subunit ribosomal RNA", at positions 1 to 105 of the family's 1533-position model. The record is from RNAcentral. Lineage: Bacteria; Pseudomonadati; Pseudomonadota; Gammaproteobacteria; Vibrionales; Vibrionaceae.
UUAAUUGAAGAGUUUGAUCAUGGCUCAGAUUGAACGCUGGCGGCAGGCCUAACACAUGCAAGUCGAGCGGCAGCACAGAGGAACUUGUUCCUUGGGUGGCGAGCGG